UUGACAUGGAGGAUUUUUGCUGGGUUUUGGAGAGAAGUAUUUAGGAAGAGGUUAGCAGAGAAGGGAAUAGAGAAAAAUGGGAACUAGAGAAAAUGAGGGAUUUUGGGCUGAGUGUUUGUGAGAGAUGGGGUGAGUUGUGAGUAGCAAGGAGGAAGAAAAUUUAUCGAUCUUUGGAGAAUAAGAGGAACACCUUUAGACUCUCCUACAAGAGAGACAAGCAGGAAUGAGAAGAGCUCCCUGUUGUUCUAAGGUGGGUUUGCAGAGAGGGCCAUGGACAGCUGACUAUAUUCGAGCACACGGCCAAGGCAAUUGGAGAUCUUUGCCUAAGAAAGCUUGACUGAUUAGGUGUGGAAAAAGCUGCAGACUAAGAUGGAUGAACUACCUUCGGCCCGAUGUCAAGAGAGCUGGUAAUAUCACAGCUGAUGAAGACGAUCUUAUCAUCUGGCUUCAUUGUUCCUUGGGGAACCGGUGGUCGCUCAUUGCUGGAAAGCAUCCAGGGCGUACCGAUAACGAGAUAAUGAACUACUGGAAUUGCCAUCUCAGUAAGAGAUUGAUUGAAGCACAAGGGCAAAAACACAAAAGAGCCCAGCAUAAUAAACAACAAGAAUAGUAAAAUCUACCGGGCCAAAGCCCUUUAGGGUUACCUCGCCCUCAAUAAUUACAAGGAACAACAGUUCUGAUAGUUUGACGAGCAGGUCAGCCAAUGACACUGCCACUGCCCAAGAAGAUAUAUAAAAGGAUCAUUAGCUAGUACAGGAGCCCCGGCCCGGUCUGCCAUGGCCUCAGGCUGGCAGAGCAGGUGAUGCAGGGGGUGUUUUAGUUGACAAUGAUCAAAAUGAUAUUGGGUCUGAACCUUCUUCCCAAUAUGAUCCAAUACCCUAAAAAAAACAACUAGUUUGAAAAGCUUUAUCAGGAGUAUCUACAACUUUUAAUGGCGGAUGAUAAUGUUGCAGUGGAAUUGCCAUCUGCUUAACUGAUUCGUGGCGGCAUUGAAGUGAUUAUGGUCAGUUAGUUUAUCAUGUAUUUUUCCUUAAUUUUCAUGCAAUAAUAUUCUUUGAA
This is a long non-coding RNA of Vitis riparia (riverbank grape), 1059 nucleotides long. RefSeq lists it as uncharacterized. NCBI's taxonomy places the organism in Eukaryota, Viridiplantae, Streptophyta, Magnoliopsida, Vitales, Vitaceae. The transcript has 3 exons. The record is from RefSeq and is a predicted model, not a curated record.